GUCACCUACUUGCAAUGCUACUUUUCUUUUUCGAGAUUUGGAUCUAAAGAUGUCUGCAGAUUUCGAUGAAGUCGCACAUGCAUCUGACCUCUAUGGAUAUCCACAUGAGAUUGAUGUAGAUUAGGAGCAUCCGAGAUCACCGAGGUGUUAGUUUUCUUUUAGAUCUCGCUCCUUUGACUUAGAUCUAAUCUCUUUCUUUGAC
Molecule: long non-coding RNA, 202 nt
Filed under: Elaeis guineensis (African oil palm)
Lineage: Eukaryota; Viridiplantae; Streptophyta; Magnoliopsida; Arecales; Arecaceae
Description: long non-coding RNA (EGUI_LNC036971)
Source: RNAcentral